Molecule: transfer RNA, 84 nt
Filed under: Canis lupus familiaris (dog)
Lineage: Eukaryota; Metazoa; Chordata; Mammalia; Carnivora; Canidae
Also listed under: 1 other name
Rfam family: tRNA
About the family: Transfer RNA (tRNA) molecules are approximately 80 nucleotides in length.
Source: Rfam by way of RNAcentral
GCCUGGGUGGCUCAGCAGUUGAGCAUCUGCCUUUGACUCAGGGCAGGAUCCCGGAGUUCCUGGGAUCGAGUCCCGCCUCAGGCU